This is a long non-coding RNA of Astyanax mexicanus (Mexican tetra), 299 nucleotides long. RefSeq lists it as uncharacterized. NCBI's taxonomy places the organism in Eukaryota, Metazoa, Chordata, Actinopteri, Characiformes, Acestrorhamphidae. The transcript has 3 exons. The record is from RefSeq and is a predicted model, not a curated record.
CAGGUGGAUCUGAGAGGAUCUGAGAGGAUCAGAUGGAUCUGAGAGGAUAUGAGAAGAUCUGGGAGGAUCUGAGAGGAUCUGGGAGGAUCAGGUGGAUCUGAGAGGAUCUGGGAGGAUCUGGGAGGAUCAGGUGGAUCUGAGAGGAUCUGGGAGGAUCAGGUGGAUCUGAGAGGAUCUGAGAGGAUCUGGGAGGAUCAGGUGGAUCUGAGAGGAUCUGGGAGGAUCAGGUGGAUCUGAGAGGAUCUGGGAGGAUCAGGUGGAUCUGAGAGGAUCUGAGAGGAUAUGAGAGGAUCUGAGAG